This 253-nucleotide ribosomal RNA is filed under the name uncultured bacterium. RNAcentral's name for it is "partial 16S ribosomal RNA". It matches the Rfam family "Bacterial small subunit ribosomal RNA", at positions 524 to 776 of the family's 1533-position model. The record is from RNAcentral.
UACGUAGGGCGCAAGCGUUGUCCGGAAUUAUUGGGCGUAAAGAGCUCGUAGGCGGUUUGUCGCGUCUGCUGUGAAAACCUAAGGCUCAACCUUGGGCUUGCAGUGGGUACGGGCAGACUAGAGUGCGGUAGGGGUGACUGGAAUUCCUGGUGUAGCGGUGGAAUGCGCAGAUAUCAGGAGCAACACCGAUGGCGAAGGCAGGUCACUGGGCCGCAACUGACGCUGAGGAGCGAAAGCAUGGGGAGCGAACAGG